RNAcentral lists this ribosomal RNA (253 nucleotides) under uncultured bacterium. RNAcentral describes it as "partial 16S ribosomal RNA". It matches the Rfam family "Bacterial small subunit ribosomal RNA", at positions 524 to 776 of the family's 1533-position model. The record is from RNAcentral.
GACGAACUGUGCAAACGUUAUUCGGAAUCACUGGGCUUAAAGGGUGCGUAGGCGGCGCGGUAAGUCGGGUGUGAAAUCUCGGAGCUUAACUCCGAAACUGCAUUCGAUACUGCCGUGCUUGAGGACUGGAGAGGAGACUGGAAUUUACGGUGUAGCGGUGAAAUGCGUAGAUAUCGUAAGGAAGACCAGUGGCGAAGGCGGGUCUCUGGACAGUUCCUGACGCUGAGGCACGAAGGUCAGGGGAGCAAACGGG